GAUGAACGCUGACAGAAUGCUUAACACAUGCAAGUCUUUGGUGAAGCUGUGCUUGCACAGCCUAGCCAAGGCGGACGGGUGAGUAACGCGUAAGGAACUUGCCCUGCAGUCAGGGAUAACAGACGGAAACGACUGAUAAGACCUGGUAAAGUCAGGCGGACUCAUGUCCAGCCUGAUGAAAAGAGAUGCUGCAGGAGAGCCUUGCGUCCUAUUAGCUUGUUGGUGGGGUAACGGCCCGCCAAGGCAAUGAUAGGUAGCCGGCCUGAGAGGGUGGACGGCCACAAGGGGACUGAGAUACGGCCCUUACUCCUACGGGAGGCAGCAGUGGGGAAUAUUGGACAAUGGGGGCAACCCUGAUCCAGCAAUUCUGUGUGCACGAUGAAGGUUUUCGGAUUGUAAAGUGCUUUCAGCAGGGAAGAAAAAAAUGACGGUACCUGCAGAAGAAGCGACGGCUAAAUACGUG
Molecule: ribosomal RNA, 463 nt
Filed under: uncultured bacterium
Lineage: Bacteria
Description: partial 16S ribosomal RNA
Rfam family: Bacterial small subunit ribosomal RNA
Source: RNAcentral